RNAcentral lists this ribosomal RNA (1552 nucleotides) under Escherichia fergusonii. RNAcentral describes it as "bacterial SSU rRNA". It matches the Rfam family "Bacterial small subunit ribosomal RNA". The record is from RNAcentral. Lineage: Bacteria; Pseudomonadati; Pseudomonadota; Gammaproteobacteria; Enterobacterales; Enterobacteriaceae.
AAAUUGAAGAGUUUGAUCAUGGCUCAGAUUGAACGCUGGCGGCAGGCCUAACACAUGCAAGUCGAACGGUAACAGGAAGCAGCUUGCUGCUUUGCUGACGAGUGGCGGACGGGUGAGUAAUGUCUGGGAAACUGCCUGAUGGAGGGGGAUAACUACUGGAAACGGUAGCUAAUACCGCAUAAUGUCGCAAGACCAAAGAGGGGGACCUUCGGGCCUCUUGCCAUCGGAUGUGCCCAGAUGGGAUUAGCUAGUAGGUGGGGUAACGGCUCACCUAGGCGACGAUCCCUAGCUGGUCUGAGAGGAUGACCAGCCACACUGGAACUGAGACACGGUCCAGACUCCUACGGGAGGCAGCAGUGGGGAAUAUUGCACAAUGGGCGCAAGCCUGAUGCAGCCAUGCCGCGUGUAUGAAGAAGGCCUUCGGGUUGUAAAGUACUUUCAGCGGGGAGGAAGGGAGUAAAGUUAAUACCUUUGCUCAUUGACGUUACCCGCAGAAGAAGCACCGGCUAACUCCGUGCCAGCAGCCGCGGUAAUACGGAGGGUGCAAGCGUUAAUCGGAAUUACUGGGCGUAAAGCGCACGCAGGCGGUUUGUUAAGUCAGAUGUGAAAUCCCCGGGCUCAACCUGGGAACUGCAUCUGAUACUGGCAAGCUUGAGUCUCGUAGAGGGGGGUAGAAUUCCAGGUGUAGCGGUGAAAUGCGUAGAGAUCUGGAGGAAUACCGGUGGCGAAGGCGGCCCCCUGGACGAAGACUGACGCUCAGGUGCGAAAGCGUGGGGAGCAAACAGGAUUAGAUACCCUGGUAGUCCACGCCGUAAACGAUGUCGACUUGGAGGUUGUGCCCUUGAGGCGUGGCUUCCGGAGCUAACGCGUUAAGUCGACCGCCUGGGGAGUACGGCCGCAAGGUUAAAACUCAAAUGAAUUGACGGGGGCCCGCACAAGCGGUGGAGCAUGUGGUUUAAUUCGAUGCAACGCGAAGAACCUUACCUGGUCUUGACAUCCACGGAAGUUUUCAGAGAUGAGAAUGUGCCUUCGGGAACCGUGAGACAGGUGCUGCAUGGCUGUCGUCAGCUCGUGUUGUGAAAUGUUGGGUUAAGUCCCGCAACGAGCGCAACCCUUAUCCUUUGUUGCCAGCGGUCCGGCCGGGAACUCAAAGGAGACUGCCAGUGAUAAACUGGAGGAAGGUGGGGAUGACGUCAAGUCAUCAUGGCCCUUACGACCAGGGCUACACACGUGCUACAAUGGCGCAUACAAAGAGAAGCGACCUCGCGAGAGCAAGCGGACCUCAUAAAGUGCGUCGUAGUCCGGAUUGGAGUCUGCAACUCGACUCCAUGAAGUCGGAAUCGCUAGUAAUCGUGGAUCAGAAUGCCACGGUGAAUACGUUCCCGGGCCUUGUACACACCGCCCGUCACACCAUGGGAGUGGGUUGCAAAAGAAGUAGGUAGCUUAACCUUCGGGAGGGCGCUUACCACUUUGUGAUUCAUGACUGGGGUGAAGUCGUAACAAGGUAACCGUAGGGGAACCUGCGGUUGGAUCACCUCCUUACCUUAAAGAA